CAUACCAGCCUAACCCUAAUUACCCUUCUCCCUCUCUCGUCCCAACCAGCCACCGCCGCCGCCACUUCACCUUCCUCCUCGCGCUGCUCCAUAUCGACGGCGCCAGCGCCGAACCACCACACGCCGGGCCACUCCCCACCUUCCCUGGCCCAAACCCCUCCCAGUCAACCCCACGCCAUGCCCCUCUCCAUUCAUAUCGCCCCAUCGAGCUAUGGCAACCCAAUCCUACCCCUGGAUCUGAGGCGGCAGUGGUGGCAGCGGGACCAACUGCCAGAUUUGGACGUCCCUAAGGUCGCUGGUGGCGCGCACUGACCCAACUCCAUCUGGCAGCGAGCGGAGCUAGGGUACAGGAGGUGGAGACAAGGCCACAGAUCCAGAGUACAUCGGGGGCCCUUGUGGCUGGUGCCAAUUGUUCGUCAGCCGCGCCACCAUUGGUCCCCUCCGUCGUCGCGGCCAUCUUCUCCAUCCAUGGUGCACAGCCUCCACACGUCGCAGUUCACCAUCUCCAGUCGGCAAGACCCAAAUCAUGUGUGGGCAAUUAUCUAGGAAGGACAUAAAAGGAAAUUCAAGUUACUACACAACAAGGUCCACUUGAAUACUGGGACGGGCUCCUUUUUCAAGUUAUUAUAAAUGUGGUUGACUCAUGUUUAUCAAAACAGAAACAAGGUGGUUUCUGAUCACAAAAUCAUUUGACGCAAGAUUACACGGUGUUAUUGUAUAUUGCUAAAUACUAGUAAUAAUGUAUGUGCAAUGCACGUUUAUAUUAGGUAGGAUAUUAGUUGCACGUUUAUAUUAGGUAGGAUAUUAGUUGCACGUUUAUAUUAGGUAGGAUAUUAGUUGCACGUUAUAUUAGGUAAGAUAUAUCUGUUGCACGUUGGUAUUUGGUAAGAUAUCAAUUACUUUUUCGCGGGAAUGGUAGGAUAUUAAUUACAUGGAAGAUUUCAAGGGAUAGCGUUGAGUCAAAAUGUGUUUAUAACCAAUGGCAGUGGUGGGUAAUUAGAGUGUUAAACGUGUUUGGUGCUCAACAUUGGAGCGAUUUGAACCGCUAGAUAACAUGAUUUGACAGGUGAGAUGGUUUGGAUUUGCCCAUUUGGGUCUUUUUAUAUUGGUAUAGAUAAGAAACACCAAUACUUGACAUGAUAUGCUUUGUUGCUUAUAAUUAUUUUGAUCAAUAAGUAAAUCUCGUUUAAAAUUUUGUAUCGCUUCGGAGGAUAUAGUAGAUUUACUGUUUGUGCUGCUAGAUUAGUCAAGUAUUUUCCUAUUAAGUUAAAUAAAUAUUUGUGUCUUUGUUUUGAAAUAAGUAACAUGCGCCAAAAUAAUUUUGUAUUGAAAUUUAGUAGUCUUGGUAGGCUGUUUGAAAUGUGUUGUAUAAUCAAAAUAUUGUAAGGAAAAUAAGUACUUUUUUCUAUAUGCAUGUACGUAUAUGGCAGAUCCUGAUCAUGCACAGAGGCACAUCGUUGAGCAUAGCUUUCACUUGCACUGUUAGUAAGAAAAAAGCUUACAUUGCAAGUAUAUUUUGGUGUUAAGAGUGUAAUUUACACAUUGCAGUGAUAAAGCUGCAAAGACGUGCUUUGUUGCAUGUUUCUCUUGUAUGUAUGCCCAUGCAUGCAUUGAAUCAUGCAGGCAACUUCUCUUGUUGUGGAUUAGAUACACACAUUCGAGCUUAAUUAGUAGCUGCAGUGCAUGUCGACAUUGCGGACCGGCGUGCUGCCGCCCAGGCCAGCGAGUUUGAACCGUGACUUGGAACUUUUAAUUUUUAGAUAGAGCCUCCAAUUACAUUAUCAACGUGGCUCAGCAAUGUGGCUUGGCUUAUUUAUUAGUCUCUAGGCACAAGGGAGAUACUAACAGAAAUUAGUGGAGUUGCAUGAAGAGAUGCAUGUCCUUGUAGAUUAUGCCUCCUACGGCCAGGUCCUACCAGUUUGAUUGUUGAUUGUACUACAUCCAGAUUCUAACUGUUCGUUUUCAGGGUGACUUGAACUUUUAUAUGAUGCAGAUUGCAAGGAGUUCGGUACCUUCACAAAUAGGAAUGAGUAUUCUAGUAAUAGGGGGCCAUAUUUAGUUCCUAAUCGUAGAUGGCCUGUUUUUUAGAUGCAUACCAUGUAGUAUAUACUUCUACCUUAUUUAUAAACUGACCAGUCUCCAUCGUUAAGUUUGACAGCAUAAGGUUGAAAAAUCUUCAGUGUUCCUUUUCUUUUGCUUUAAUAAUAUAAUAGAUAGAUGCUGUCAAUAAGUUGUCACUUUUCGAUGAUGUGGUUUCUAAAAUAUGUCUUUGAACUGUUUGGUACUAGGUUACUCCUGAUUAGUCAUGGAUGUUGUGUUGUUGCAAUGAGAAACGAUUGUUCAUUAAUCAAACACAAGCAUUCCUUGGCAUAACUUCUAUAUAGGUUUACCUCCACCUCUAGAGUGAGGUUCAGAUCAUGUGAAAUAAAAAUGGUGGUUCUACUAUUGCUAUUGUUGUAAUCAACUUGCCAUUUUGUAACAAAAUCGUAUUGUUUGUUACAGGUUUCCUUGGUGGUGAGAGCGGCAAAAGAAGUUUGAGAAGCAGAGGUGAAUUUGAUGAAUAAGAGGGUCUUUACAAUGUUGUAUAUUUGUUGUAAUUUGGAGUAAUUCUUACCAAGGGUGUGAACUGAUGUUGGACGUGUUCUUGGGCCAUCAUAUUUUAAAAGGCCUUUACAUAGUGAAAUAAAAUUUGUGAAAUGUGCCAAAUUAUGUGCCUGUUCGAUGGAAAGUAAUUGUGUUGUGAAA
Triticum urartu is the source of this 2745-nucleotide non-coding RNA. Lineage: Eukaryota; Viridiplantae; Streptophyta; Magnoliopsida; Poales; Poaceae. The record is from RefSeq and is a predicted model, not a curated record.